RNAcentral lists this ribosomal RNA (421 nucleotides) under uncultured eukaryote. RNAcentral describes it as "bacterial SSU rRNA". It matches the Rfam family "Eukaryotic small subunit ribosomal RNA", at positions 592 to 1018 of the family's 1831-position model. The record is from RNAcentral.
CAAUAGCGUAUAUUAAAGUUGUUGCGGUUAAAAAGCUCGUAGUUGGAUCUCUGUUAGAGACGGCCGGUCCGCCUUUUGGGCGUGUAUCUGGUUCGGCUUUGGCAUCCUCUUGGGGAACGUACUGCGCUUGAUUGCGUGGUGCGGAAUUCAAGACUUUUACUUUGAGGAAAUGAGAGUGUUUCAAGCAGGCGUCCGCCAUGAAUACGUUAGCAUGGAAUAAUAGUAUCGGACCUCGUCCCAAAGCUGUUGGUUCCUUGGGUCGAGGUAAAGGUGAAUAGGGAUUGUUGGGGGCAUUCGUAUUUAACUGUCAGAGGUGAAAUUCUUGGAUUUGUUGAAGACGAACUACUGCGAAAGCAUCUGCCAAAGAUGUUCUCAUUGAUCAAGAACGAAAGUUAGGUGAUCGAAGACGAUCAGAUACCAU